This 955-nucleotide long non-coding RNA is filed under the name Jatropha curcas. RNAcentral's name for it is "long non-coding RNA (JCUR_LNC002525)". The record is from RNAcentral. Lineage: Eukaryota; Viridiplantae; Streptophyta; Magnoliopsida; Malpighiales; Euphorbiaceae.
GGCUGCAGAGAUUCCAUUUUUGUAGAAGAAUGAAAAGAUCGAGUUGCCCAGUCCUAUAUAGUAUUUUGGAGUGGUCAAGAAAUUAAUUACAAGCACAAACCCACACAUUUAACCUUAUAUAUGUAUAUAUUAGUUGUCGAAGUAAAAGGAGUGAAUAAAUCUUGAACAACGGCAAGAUUCGCAACAUAUUGAGGGAGAGCUGGAAAGGUAAUCUUGAUAAGCUGACUCACUUCCAUUUAUUAUGAGACAUGUCCAUAAAUUUAUUGGCUGAAGGAUCAUAUGUUGACAUUAUCAUUUAUUUAGAUUGAAAUAUGACUUUUCCUUUAUCAUCGUGUAUAUUUUCAUGCUCGAGUUAAUCAAAAGUGAUAUUCAAAUAACGACUCAAAAUUUCAAACCCGAGAGAGAUAUUCUAUUAAUUAUGUAUAUAUAGAUGGAAGUACUUUUUAACUUUUGAAGCAUUACCGUUAACCAAUGAGAAGUCAUAUAUAUGAUACACUGGUAUUGGAGAAGUAACAUAACAAGAGUAGCAAAAGAAAUUUUACCUCAAAAGGCAAACGACAUAACUUGCUUUCAUCUUCAUGUGAAAGAAAGCAGAGUCUCAACCCAAUUGAGCAGAUGUUGAUUGAUGAUGAGAAGGUACCUACCUUUUUCUUUUUUUCUUUUUUUUUUUUUUUCUUUUAUCAGAAAAAAUUUGGACAAUUUCCCAGUCUAUGUCCUUUCAAAUUUACAAUAAGCCAUAAUUACAUAGUAGAAAUGAGGAAUGAAAUUGUAAUAAAGAUGGGUUAAUCCAAAUUUAUUUAUAUUAAUUGUGAGAAUAUAUUCUGUUCCAAUGUUAUAUACAGCUCAUUACAUUCCAUCCAUGCAUAUUAAUAUAGAUAGAUAGAAACACAAAUCCAAUGAAUGAGUAGGAACUUUGUGAGACUUGAAGAGAUCUAGAGCAUCAAAUAUAUAAACC